Molecule: ribosomal RNA, 392 nt
Filed under: uncultured bacterium
Lineage: Bacteria
Description: bacterial SSU rRNA
Rfam family: Bacterial small subunit ribosomal RNA
Source: RNAcentral
AUUGAACGCUGGCGGCAGGCCUAACACAUGCAAGUCGAGCGGCAGCACGGCAAUAGCAAUAUUGUGGGUGGCGAGCGGCGGACGGGUGAGGAAUGCAUCGGGAUCUACCCUGUCGUGGGGGACAACGUAGGGAAACUUACGCUAAUACCGCAUGAUCUGGAGACAGCAAAGCCGGGGACCUUCGGGCCUGGCGCGAUGAGAUGAGCCGAUGCCGGAUUAGCUAGUUGGCGGGGUAAAGGCCCACCAAGGCGACGAUCCGUAGCUGGUCUGAGAGGAUGAUCAGCCACACUGGAACUGAGACACGGUCCAGACUCCUACGGGAGGCAGCAGUGGGGAAUAUUGGACAAUGGGGGCAACCCUGAUCCAGCCAUGCCGCGUGUGUGAAGAAGGCC